UGACUAUAUGUUUAACGGCCGCGGUAUUUUGACCGUGCGAAGGUAGCGUAAUCACUUGUCUUUUAAAUGGAGACCUGUAUGAAUGGCAUAACGAGGGCUUAACUGUCUCCUCUUUCCAGUCAAUGAAAUUGAUCUCCCCGUGCAGAAGCGGGGAUAAACACAUAAGACGAGAAGACCCUAUGGAGCUUUAGACACCAAGACAGAUCACGUCAAACACCCCUUAAUAAAGGCCUGAACUUAAUGAUCCCCUGUCCUAAUGUCUUCGGUUGGGGCGACCAUGGGGCAGCACAAAACCCCCAUGCGGAAUGGGAGAACAAACCCAGCAUUCUUUUUCCCACACUCCCAAAAGCAAGAGCUACAACUCUAGCUAACAGAACUUCUGACCUUUCAUGAUCCGGCUUUGGGCCGAUCAACAA
RNAcentral lists this ribosomal RNA (416 nucleotides) under Atule mate (yellowfin scad). RNAcentral's name for it is "partial 16S ribosomal RNA". It matches the Rfam family "Bacterial large subunit ribosomal RNA", at positions 1913 to 2455 of the family's 2925-position model. The record is from RNAcentral. Lineage: Eukaryota; Metazoa; Chordata; Actinopteri; Carangiformes; Carangidae.